UACAGAGGGUGCAAGCGUUGUUCGGAUUCAUUGGGCGUAAAGGGUGCGUAGGCGGCGCGGUAAGUCGGGUGUGAAAUCUUGGAGCUUAACUCCGAAACUGCAUUCGAUACUGCCGUGCUUGAGGACUGGAGAGGAGACUGGAAUUUACGGUGUAGCGGUGAAAUGCGUAGAUAUCGUAAGGAAGACCAGUGGCGAAGGCGGGUCUCUGGACAGUUCCUGACGCUGAGGCACGAAGGCCAGGGGAGCAAACGGG
This 253-nucleotide ribosomal RNA is filed under the name uncultured bacterium. RNAcentral's name for it is "partial 16S ribosomal RNA". It matches the Rfam family "Bacterial small subunit ribosomal RNA", at positions 524 to 776 of the family's 1533-position model. The record is from RNAcentral.